This 385-nucleotide RNase P RNA is filed under the name Tetragenococcus osmophilus. RNAcentral's name for it is "RNase P RNA component class B". It matches the Rfam family "Bacterial RNase P class B". From Rfam's summary of the family: Ribonuclease P (RNase P) is a ubiquitous endoribonuclease, found in archaea, bacteria and eukarya as well as chloroplasts and mitochondria. Its best characterised activity is the generation of mature 5'-ends of tRNAs by cleaving the 5'-leader elements of precursor-tRNAs. The record is from RNAcentral. Lineage: Bacteria; Bacillati; Bacillota; Bacilli; Lactobacillales; Enterococcaceae.
GUUUUCGGAUAAUCGCGGCUUGAGUAAAUCAAGCUGAGGAAAGUCCAUGCUCACACAGGCUGAAAUGCCUGUAGUGUUCGUGCUCAGCGAAAAAAUAAGCUGAGGUAUCUCAUUAAAGAGAUAACGGCAGGAAAAACGGCUAAGGUGUAGGCUAGUCUACACUAAGCCCGAGUAUCCUUGAAAGUGCCACAGUGACGAAGCAAUAGGAGAAAUCUUAUUGUUGGAACGCGGUAAACCCCUCGAGUGAGCAACCCAAACAAAAAGGUAGGGGCACUUUUUGCCGCGAAAUAAAACGCGAGCAAGAAGACAAUAUUAUUGUAGAUAGAUGAUUAUCUAAGUUAUUUUGCUCCCUGUAAAAUAACUGGACAAAACAUGGCUUAUAGAA